Molecule: small RNA, 128 nt
Filed under: Drosophila erecta
Lineage: Eukaryota; Metazoa; Arthropoda; Insecta; Diptera; Drosophilidae
Description: GG26231
Source: RNAcentral
AGUGUCGUCGUGCCCACUAAAGCAUAAGUAUUUCCAAUUCAGAACCUUCCAGAAAUAGAAAACAAACGCAUUUGCCAAGGAAACGUGGCCCAAAACUAAGCAACCCCUAACAAAUAAAACAAACAAAA